This 666-nucleotide ribosomal RNA is filed under the name Limosilactobacillus fermentum. RNAcentral describes it as "bacterial SSU rRNA". It matches the Rfam family "Bacterial small subunit ribosomal RNA", at positions 32 to 687 of the family's 1533-position model. Lineage: Bacteria; Bacillati; Bacillota; Bacilli; Lactobacillales; Lactobacillaceae. The record is from RNAcentral.
AACGCGUUGGCCCAAUUGAUUGAUGGUGCUUGCACCUGAUUGAUUUUGGUCGCCAACGAGUGGCGGACGGGUGAGUAACACGUAGGUAACCUGCCCAGAAGCGGGGGACAACAUUUGGAAACAGAUGCUAAUACCGCAUAACAACGUUGUUCGCAUGAACAACGCUUAAAAGAUGGCUUCUCGCUAUCACUUCUGGAUGGACCUGCGGUGCAUUAGCUUGUUGGUGGGGUAACGGCCUACCAAGGCGAUGAUGCAUAGCCGAGUUGAGAGACUGAUCGGCCACAAUGGGACUGAGACACGGCCCAUACUCCUACGGGAGGCAGCAGUAGGGAAUCUUCCACAAUGGGCGCAAGCCUGAUGGAGCAACACCGCGUGAGUGAAGAAGGGUUUCGGCUCGUAAAGCUCUGUUGUUAAAGAAGAACACGUAUGAGAGUAACUGUUCAUACGUUGACGGUAUUUAACCAGAAAGUCACGGCUAACUACGUGCCAGCAGCCGCGGUAAUACGUAGGUGGCAAGCGUUAUCCGGAUUUAUUGGGCGUAAAGAGAGUGCAGGCGGUUUUCUAAGUCUGAUGUGAAAGCCUUCGGCUUAACCGGAGAAGUGCAUCGGAAACUGGAUAACUUGAGUGCAGAAGAGGGUAGUGGAACUCCAUGUGUAGCGGUGGAAU